UUGCGGCAUGGGAUGGGGUCGCGUCCUAUCAGCUUGUUGGCGGGGUGAUGGCCCACCAAGGCGUUGACGGGUAGCCGGCUUGAGAGGGUGACCGGCCACAUUGGGACUGAGAUACGGCCCAGACUCCUACGGGAGGCAGCAGUGGGGAAUAUUGCACAAUGGGCGCAAGCCUGAUGCAGCGACGCCGCGUGCGGGAUGGAGGCCUUCGGGUUGUAAACCGCUUUUGUUCAAGGGCAAGGCACGGUUUCGGCCGUGUUGAGUGGAUUGUUCGAAUAAGCACCGGCUAACUACGUGCCAGCAGCCGCGGUAAUACGUAGGGUGCGAGCGUUAUCCGGAUUUAUUGGGCGUAAAGGGCUCGUAGGCGGUUCGUCGCGUCCGGUGUGAAAGUCCAUCGCCUAUCGGUGGAUCUGCGCCGGGUACGGGCGGG
RNAcentral lists this ribosomal RNA (427 nucleotides) under uncultured Bifidobacterium sp. RNAcentral describes it as "bacterial SSU rRNA". It matches the Rfam family "Bacterial small subunit ribosomal RNA", at positions 213 to 640 of the family's 1533-position model. Lineage: Bacteria; Bacillati; Actinomycetota; Actinomycetes; Bifidobacteriales; Bifidobacteriaceae. The record is from RNAcentral.